This 85-nucleotide transfer RNA is filed under the name uncultured archaeon A07HB70. It matches the Rfam family "tRNA". From Rfam's summary of the family: Transfer RNA (tRNA) molecules are approximately 80 nucleotides in length. Their secondary structure includes four short double-helical elements and three loops (D, anti-codon, and T loops). The record is from Rfam by way of RNAcentral.
GCGGGGGUGGCCGAGCGGCCUAAGGCGGCGGACUUAAGAUCCGCUCUCCGUAGGGAGGUCCUGGGUUCGAAUCCCAGUCCCCGCA